Molecule: ribosomal RNA, 1908 nt
Filed under: Leptotrichia shahii DSM 19757
Lineage: Bacteria; Fusobacteriati; Fusobacteriota; Fusobacteriia; Fusobacteriales; Leptotrichiaceae
Description: bacterial LSU rRNA
Rfam family: Bacterial large subunit ribosomal RNA
Source: RNAcentral
UAAUAAACGGAGCCGAAGGGAAACCAAGUCUUAACAGGGCGACAAGUCGUUAGCCAUAGACGCGAAACCUAGUGAUCUAGGCCUGUCCAGGCUGAAGCUGAGGUAAGACUCAGUGGAGGGCCGAACUCACCGCCGUUGAAAAGUUGGGAGAUGAGGCAGGUCUAGGGGUGAAAAGCCAAUCGAACUAGGAGAUAGCUCGUUCUCUCCGAAAUGCAUUUAGGUGCAGCCUUGGCAUUGAGAUAUGUGGGGGUAGAGCUCUGUAUGAUCUAGGGGGCGUACUGCUUACCGAAAUCAAGCAAACUGCGAAUACCAUAUAUUAUUGCCAGGAGUGAGUCCGUGGAUGACAAGGUCCUCGGACGAGAGGGGAACAGCCCAGACCACCAGCUAAGGUCCCUAAUUAUGUCUAAGUGGGAAAGGAGGUGGACAUUCACAGACAACCAGGAGGUUGGCUUAGAAGCAGCCAUGCCUUGAAAGAGUGCGUAACAGCUCACUGGUCGAGAGUGCCCGCGCCGAAGAUGUAACGGGGCUAAGACAUAAACCGAAGCUGUGGAAGAUACAUCAGUAUCUUGGUAGGAGAGCGUUCUGUAGGUCUAUGAAGGCAUGCCGCAAGGCUUGCUGGAGAUAUCAGAAGCGAGAAUGCAGGAAUGAGUAGCGAGAAGGCGGGUGAGAAUCCCGCCGGCCGGAAGUCCAAGGUUUCCAGGGGAAGGCUUGUCCGCCCUGGGGAAGUCGGGACCUAAGCAUAAGCAAAAUUGUGACGGCGAAUGGAAAACAGGUUAAUAUUCCUGUACCACUAUUAUCGCUUGAGAGACGGAGUGACGCAGGAAGGUAUGUGAGAAGGCUGACGGUUUAGCCUUUCUAAGGGCCCAGCGUGGGCGCGCAGGAAAAUCCGCGCGCCUAAACGUGAGACCUGACGGGGAAGUGCAUAUGCAUAAGUCACAGAUCCUACACUGCCUAGAAAAACUUCUAUCGAUGAGAAGUAGUGCCCGUACUGUAAACCGACACAGGUGGACAGAGUGAGAAACUUAAGGCCGACAGGAUAACUCUAGCUAAGGAACUCUGCAAAAUAGCCCCGUAACUUCGGGAGAAGGGGUGCCUGACAUACCUGAAAGGAGAAACACCUCCAGGGGAAACAGGCCGCAGUGAAGAGUCCCAAGCAACUGUUUACCAAAAACACAGGUCUAUGCUAAGCUGAAAGGCGACGUAUAUGGGCUGACACCUGCCCAGUGCCGGAAGGUUAAGAGGAGGAGUGAGAGCUCCGAUUUGAAGCCCCGGUGAACGGCGGCCGUAACUAUAACGGUCCUAAGGUAGCGAAAUUCCUUGUCGGGUAAGUUCCGACCUGCACGAAUGGUGAAAUGAUUUGGGAGCUGUCUUGGCUGGAGACCUGGUGAAGUUGUAAUGCCGGUGAAGAUACCGGCUACCUGCAGUAGGACGGAAAGACCCCGUGGAGCUUUACUGCAGCUUGGCAUUGGGUUUUGGCAAUGUGUGUAUAGGAUAGUUGGGAGACUGUGAAGCAACGGCGUCAGCUGUUGCCGAGUCGCUGUUGGAAUACCAACCAUAUGCUGCUGAAAUUCUAAUCUGGUAACGGAGACAGUGCUAGGUGGGCAGUUUGACUGGGGCGGUCGCCUCCAAAAGAGUAACGGAGGCGUUCAAAGGUUCCCUCAGGCUGGAUGGAAAUCAGCCUAGGAGUGCAAACGCAUAAGGGAGCUUGACUGCAAGACUGACGGGUCGAGCAGGUACGAAAGUAGGAGUUAGUGAUCCGGCGGUUCCGCAUGGAAGGACCGUCGCUCAACGGAUAAAAGCUACCCCGGGGAUAACAGGCUGAUACUUCCCAAGAGUCCAUAUCGACGGAAGUGUUUGGCACCUCGAUGUCGGCUCGUCUCAUCCUGGGGCUGGAGAAGGUCCCAAGGG